Molecule: long non-coding RNA, 760 nt
Organism: Ipomoea nil (Japanese morning glory)
Lineage: Eukaryota; Viridiplantae; Streptophyta; Magnoliopsida; Solanales; Convolvulaceae
Exons: 2
Source: RefSeq, a predicted model, not a curated record
AACUUAAUAACCUUACAUAUACAAUCUCCCAAAGAAAAAAAGAAAUUUCACAAUCUCCAAAUGGAAAGCCAUCAUGGACAAAGCGAUUGUUGCUUGAUGAGAAGCUGCUUUGCUAAAAAAUUCGGGAGGAGGCAGAUGAAUUAUCCCGAACUUUGGAGGAAAAUGAUGAUAAGUUACGCACUUCAUCAGAAGCAGCAUAUUUGUUAUACCAUGCCUUGGUUUUGCUUGCCAAUAGAGGAGUAAAAGUUGAGAGGUUCUCCAGAUACUUAGACACGGGUUUUCACAGUCAGGCAUUGAACAAAAGAGGAGCCGGAAAUCCUAAUGAUCUUUCAGUUUUCAGAUCAACGAUCUAUUGGAUCAGAAUUCAGAUCAAAUUAGCAUCCAUCUAAAGGGGGGUAUUGAAGGCACCUUGGUAUCAAUUGACUUCAAUUGAGAUAUACCCCAUUGCAAUUUGCAACUGUAUAAAUGCUUGCCAUAGCCAGUUAGAAUGGUGGAAGUAAAUUUGUGCGUUUAUGAAACAUAUUACGUGCUUCCCGUAUUUCUGUUUGGGAUGAUGCUUCUUGUUGGUUGCCAUGGUUACACAGACCAGUAACACGUGCUGCUGUCAUCCAGAUAUUUGCAUCUUCUUUGCACUUGCUGUAUAUGUUGUCCCUUUAGCUCUUGGCUGUUAAUGCUCUUCAACUACAAAUGUUGUAUACAAAAGAGUGUUUAAUAAUUUCUAAUGGAAAAUUGUAAAUGUAUUUUAGUGAUUUGAGCUUUU